Molecule: ribosomal RNA, 479 nt
Filed under: uncultured bacterium
Lineage: Bacteria
Description: bacterial SSU rRNA
Rfam family: Bacterial small subunit ribosomal RNA
Source: RNAcentral
GACGAACGCUGGCGGCGUGCUUAACACAUGCAAGUCGAACGAUGAAGCCUUCGGGUGGAUUAGUGGCGAACGGGUGAGUAACACGUGGGCAAUCUGCCCUUCACUCCGGGACAAGCCUUGGAAACGAGGUCUAAUACCGGAUAUCACUCCCGGGUGCAUGCCUGGGGGUUGAAAGCUCCGGCGGUGAAGGAUGAGCCCGCGGCCUAUCAGCUUGUUGGUGGGGUAAUGGCCUACCAAGGCGACGACGGGUAGCCGGCCUGAGAGGGCGACCGGCCACACUGGGACUGAGACACGGCCCAGACUCCUACGGGAGGCAGCAGUGGGGAAUAUUGCACAAUGGGCGAAAGCCUGAUGCAGCGACGCCGCGUGAGGGAUGACGGCCUUCGGGUUGUAAACCUCUUUCAGCAGGGAAGAAGCGCAAGUGACGGUACCUGCAGAAGAAGCACCGGCUAACUACGUGCCAGCCGCCGCAGUAAAAC